This 253-nucleotide ribosomal RNA is filed under the name uncultured bacterium. RNAcentral's name for it is "partial 16S ribosomal RNA". It matches the Rfam family "Bacterial small subunit ribosomal RNA", at positions 524 to 776 of the family's 1533-position model. The record is from RNAcentral.
UACGUAGGGUGCGAGCGUUAAUCGGAAUUACUGGGCGUAAAGCGUGCGCAGGCGGCUUUAUAAGUCAGGCGUGUAAGCCCCUGGCUCAACCUGGGAAUUGCGUUUGAAACUAUUUAGCUUGAGUACAGGAGAGGAAGGCGGAAUUCCCAGUGUAGCGGUGAAAUGCAUUGAUAUUGGGAAGAACACCGGUGGCGAAGGCGGCCUUCUGGUCUGAUACUGACGCUGAGAUACGAAAGCCAGGGGAGCGAACGGG